RNAcentral lists this ribosomal RNA (780 nucleotides) under uncultured bacterium. RNAcentral's name for it is "bacterial SSU rRNA". It matches the Rfam family "Bacterial small subunit ribosomal RNA", at positions 1 to 772 of the family's 1533-position model. The record is from RNAcentral.
UAGAGUUUGAUUCUGGCUCAGAUUGAACGCUGGCGGCAGGCCUAACACAUGCAAGUCGAGCGGCAGCGGGAAAGUAGCUUGCUACUUUUGCCGGCGAGCGGCGGACGGGUGAGUAAUGCCUGGGGAUCUGCCCAGUCGAGGGGGAUAACUACUGGAAACGGUAGCUAAUACCGCAUACGCCCUACGGGGGAAAGCAGGGGACCUUCGGGCCUUGCGCGAUUGGAUGAACCCAGGUGGGAUUAGCUAGUUGGUGAGGUAAUGGCUCACCAAGGCGACGAUCCCUAGCUGGUCUGAGAGGAUGAUCAGCCACACUGGAACUGAGACACGGUCCAGACUCCUACGGGAGGCAGCAGUGGGGAAUAUUGCACACCGGGGGAAACCCUGAUGCAGCCAUGCCGCGUGUGUGAAGAAGGCCUUCGGGUUGUAAAGCACUUUCAGCGAGGAGGAAAGGUUGGUAGCUAAUAACUGCCAGCUGUGACGUUAACUCGCAGAAGAAGCACCGGCUAACUCCGUGCCAGCAGCCGCGGUAAUACGGAGGGUGCAAGCCGUUAAUCGGAAUUACUGGGCGUAAAGCGCACGCCGGCGGUUGGAUAAGUUAGAUGUGAAAGCCCCGGGCUCAACCUGGGAAUUGCAUUUAAAACUGUCCGGCUAGAGUCUUGUAGAGGGGGGUAGAAUUCCAGGUGUAGCGGUGAAAUGCGUAGAGAUCUGGAGGAAUCCCGGUGGCGAAGGCGGCCCCCUGGACAAAGACUGACGCUCCGGUGCGAAAGCGUGGGGAGCAAA